UACGUAGGGGGCAAGCGUUGUCCGGAAUUAUUGGGCGUAAAGAGCUCGUAGGCGGUUUGUCGCGUCUGCUGUGAAAUCCCGAGGCUCAACCUCGGGUCUGCAGUGGGUACGGGCAGACUAGAGUGCGGUAGGGGAGACUGGAAUUCCUGGUGUAGCGGUGAAAUGCGCAGAUAUCAGGAGGAACACCGGUGGCGAAGGCGGGUCUCUGGGCCGUAACUGACGCUGAGGAGCGAAAGCAUGGGGAGCGAACAGG
RNAcentral lists this ribosomal RNA (253 nucleotides) under uncultured bacterium. RNAcentral describes it as "partial 16S ribosomal RNA". It matches the Rfam family "Bacterial small subunit ribosomal RNA", at positions 524 to 776 of the family's 1533-position model. The record is from RNAcentral.